This 253-nucleotide ribosomal RNA is filed under the name uncultured bacterium. RNAcentral's name for it is "partial 16S ribosomal RNA". It matches the Rfam family "Bacterial small subunit ribosomal RNA", at positions 524 to 776 of the family's 1533-position model. The record is from RNAcentral.
UACGUAGGGGGCUAGCGUUGUCCGGAAUCAUUGGGCGUAAAGGGUGCGUAGGCGGCGCGGUAAGUCGGGUGUGAAAUCUCGGGGCUUAACUCCGAAACUGCAUUCGAUACUGCCGUGCUUGAGGACUGGAGAGGAGACUGGAAUUUACGGUGUAGCGGUGAAAUGCGUAGAUAUCGUAAGGAAGACCAGUGGCGAAGGCGGGUCUCUGGACAGUUCCUGACGCUGAGGCACGAAGGUCAGGGGAGCAAACGGG